Molecule: non-coding RNA, 21 nt
Organism: Caenorhabditis elegans
Lineage: Eukaryota; Metazoa; Nematoda; Chromadorea; Rhabditida; Rhabditidae
Source: Ensembl
UUAACAUAUGCAAAUAAGUAC